RNAcentral lists this small RNA (87 nucleotides) under unclassified sequences. Its description in RNAcentral is "GA-cis RNA". It matches the Rfam family "GA-cis RNA". The record is from Rfam by way of RNAcentral.
ACGAGGAGGUCCCCAAAUGAUGCGAAGCAUCAUUUUUGCAUGGGACCGACGAACUGCCCUCGAACAAAGUGAGGGGCAACACCAUAA